GUCUCUGUGGCGCAAUUGGUUAGCGCGUUCGGCUGUUAACCGAAAAGUUGCUGGUUCAAGCCCAGCCAGGGACG
Non-coding RNA from Ciona savignyi (Pacific transparent sea squirt), 74 nucleotides. The record is from Rfam. NCBI's taxonomy places the organism in Eukaryota, Metazoa, Chordata, Ascidiacea, Phlebobranchia, Cionidae.